CUCGUAGGCGGUUCGUCGCGUCCGGUGUGAAAGUCCAUCGCUUAACGGUGGAUCCGCGCCGGGUACGGGCGGGCUUGAGUGCGGUAGGGGAGACUGGAAUUCCCGGUGUAACGGUGGAAUGUGUAGAUAUCGGGAAGAACACCAAUGGCGAAGGCAGGUCUCUGGGCCGUCACUGACGCUGAGGAGCGAAAACGUGGGGAGCGAACA
Molecule: ribosomal RNA, 207 nt
Filed under: uncultured bacterium
Lineage: Bacteria
Description: partial 16S ribosomal RNA
Rfam family: Bacterial small subunit ribosomal RNA
Source: RNAcentral